Molecule: ribosomal RNA, 880 nt
Filed under: uncultured Gemmata sp.
Lineage: Bacteria; Pseudomonadati; Planctomycetota; Planctomycetia; Gemmatales; Gemmataceae
Description: bacterial SSU rRNA
Rfam family: Bacterial small subunit ribosomal RNA
Source: RNAcentral
UGCAUCGGGGGAUCCCGCAAGGGGGAACCGGCGUAAGGGGCAGUAAGGCAUGGGUACCUACCUUUGGGUUCGGGAUAGCCAUCAGAGAUGGUGGGUAAUACCGGAUGACGUCGUGAGACCAAAGAUUCAUCGCCCUUAGAGGGGCCCAUGUGAUAUUAGCUAGUUGGUGGGGUAACGGCCCACCAAGGCGAAGAUGUCUAGCGGGUGUGAGAGCACGACCCGCGCCACUCGCACUGAGACACUGGCGAGACACCUACGGGUGGCUGCAGUCGAGGAUCUUCGGCAAUGAGCGCAAGCUUGACCGAGCGAUGCCGCGUGAGCGAUGAAGGCCUUCGGGUUGUAAAGCUCUUUAGUGGGGGAGAAAAGCCGCAAGGUGUGAUCUAUCCCAAAAAUAAGCACGGGCUAAGUUCGUGCCAGCAGCCGCGGUAAGACGAACCGUGCAAACGUUAUUCGGAACCACUGGGCUUAAAGGGCGCGUAGGCGGGCUGUCAAGUCUGGGGUGAAAUCCCGCGGCUCAACCGUGGAACUGCCUCAGAUACUGACGGCCUCGAGGAAGGUAGGGGCAUGCGGAACUGUAGGUGGAGCGGUGAAAUGCGUUGAUAUCUACAGGAACUCCGGUGGCGAAAGCGGCGUGCUGGACCUUUUCUGACGCUGAGGCGCGAAAGCUAGGGGAGCAAACGGGAUUAGAUACCCCGGUAGUCCUAGCCCUAAACGAUGGGUACUAGAUAGUAGACUCGAUAUAGGUUUACUGUCGAAGCUAAAGUGCUAAGUACCCCGCCUGGGGAGUAUGGUCGCAAGGCUGAAACUCAAAGGAAUUGACGGGGGCUCACACAAGCGGUGGACAUGUGGCUUAUUCGAGGCUACGCGAAAACCUUAUCCU